GAUGAACGCUGGCGGCGUGCCUAAUACAUGCAAGUCGAGCGAACGGACGAGAAGCUUGCUUCUCUGAUGUUAGCGGCGGACGGGUGAGUAACACGUGGAUAACCUACCUAUAAGACUGGGAUAACUUCGGGAAACCGGAGCUAAUACCGGAUAAUAUCUUGAACCGCAUGGUUCAAAAGUGAAAGACGGUCUUGCUGUCACUUAUAGAUGGAUCCGCGCUGCAUUAGCUAGUUGGUAAGGUAACGGCUUACCAAGGCAACGAUGCAUAGCCGACCUGAGAGGGUGAUCGGCCACACUGGAACUGAGACACGGUCCAGACUCCUACGGGAGGCAGCAGUAGGGAAUCUUCCGCAAUGGGCGAAAGCCUGACGGAGCAACGCCGCGUGAGUGAUGAAGGUCUUCGGAUCGUAAAACUCUGUUAUUAGGGAAGAACAUAUGUGUAAGUAACUGUGCACAUCUUGACGGUACCUAAGCAGAAAGCCACGGCUAACUACGU
RNAcentral lists this ribosomal RNA (496 nucleotides) under uncultured bacterium. Its description in RNAcentral is "partial 16S ribosomal RNA". It matches the Rfam family "Bacterial small subunit ribosomal RNA", at positions 28 to 506 of the family's 1533-position model. The record is from RNAcentral.